AGCACACACACUAAGCGCGUUAAACUCUCUAUAAAGGCAUUUGCUUGGUAUUGGGUUUCAAUAUCUAGUUUUGUACCCAGCUCUCUUGAGGGUUGUGGAGUGUAGCUAGUAUUGAACAUGGAGAUCAAUUAUGCUCUGGCAUUGCUCUUAGUCCUCAUUCUCAACUUGGGUAGUUUGCUCACUUCUCUUGCUAACUCCUAUUGCCCACCACCAACAUACCCUCCAGUUCCUCACUUGCCACCCAAACACCCUCCCCAUGUAACUCCACCCUUCCACCCUAAACCACCAAAGAAGCCACCACCAUAUGUCAAACCACCUCAUGCAAAGCCUCCUCCUCAUGUACCAAUCAAACCCCCUCAUGUUAAACCACCCAUUGUAAAACCACCUCCUUAUCCGAAACCUCCAGUUGCCAAACCACCUCCCCAUCCCAAACCUCCUGUUGUCAAACCACCUCCCCAUCCCAAACCUCCUGUUGUCAAACCACCUCCCCAUCCCAAACCUCCUGUUGUCAAACCACCUCCCUAUCCCAAACCUCCUGUUGUCAAACCACCUCACCUAUCCCAAACCUCCUGUUGUCAAACCACCCUCCCUAUCCCAAACCUCCUGUUGUCAAACCACCUCCCUAUCCCAAACCUCCUGUUGUCAAACCACCUCACCAUCCCAAGCCUCCUGUUGUCAAACCACCUCCCCAUCCCAAACCUCCUGUUGUCAAGCCUCCAGUUGUCAAACCACCUCCCCAUCCCAAACCACCAGUUGUACUGCCUCCACCAUAUACCCCGAAGCCCCGGUUGUACUGCCUUCCACCAUAUACCCCGAAGCCCCCGGUUGUGCUGCCUCCACCAUAUACCCCGAAGCCCCCGGUUGUGGCCUCCACCAUAUCCCCCGAACCCCCCCGGUGUAUGUGCUGCCUCCACCAUAUACCCCGAAGCCCCCGGUUGUACUGCCUCCACCAUAUACCCCGAAGCCCCCGGUUGUACUGCCUCCACCAUAUACCCCGAAGCCCCCGGUUGUACUGCCUCCACCAUAUACCCCGAAGCCCCCGGUUGUACUGCCUCCACCAUAUACCCCGAAGCCCCCAGUUGUACUGCCUCCACCAUAUACCCCCAAGCCCCCAGUUGUACUGCCUCCACCAUAUACCCCCAAGCCCCCAGUUGUACUGCCUCCACCUUCACCACCUGUUGUAGUGCCAAGCCCACCAUCAACACCAACCCCAACCCCAGUUGUCCCAGUGAAGCCUCCUCCACCCACUGAAACACCAUGCCCUCCUCCACCACCAAAGGUAGUACCACCCCCAACAUCACCACCUCCAAAGUCGCCACCGAAGGACACGUGCCCCAUCGACACCUUAAAGUUGGGAGCUUGUGUAGAUGUGCUGGGUGGACUUAUCCAC
RNAcentral lists this long non-coding RNA (1390 nucleotides) under Malus domestica (apple). RNAcentral's name for it is "long non-coding RNA (MDOM_LNC008047)". Lineage: Eukaryota; Viridiplantae; Streptophyta; Magnoliopsida; Rosales; Rosaceae. The record is from RNAcentral.